This is a long non-coding RNA of Dromaius novaehollandiae (emu), 1305 nucleotides long. RefSeq lists it as uncharacterized. Lineage: Eukaryota; Metazoa; Chordata; Aves; Casuariiformes; Dromaiidae. The record is from RefSeq and is a predicted model, not a curated record. The transcript is spliced from 3 exons.
GGAAAGCCGUAACCCUCUCAUUGCCUGCAUUUCGUCCCCUUCAGGCGUGUUCUGCAGGAGGAAAAGGAAGUUUUCAAGAAAUGCUUUCGUGGUUUUCUAUGUCUGCCUGUUUGCAGGGUGGUUCCUUGUCCUCUGGGAUGAAGAGAGAGGCUGGGUGGAACUGCCUGCAGACCACAGUCCAGGCUCUUAGCUGCAAGCUGGACUACACCAAUUUCCAAAUGGGCAUGUAGGAAGUCUGUUCCCUUGGCUCCAGCAGGGAAAAAGGAAGACAUCUGUGGUGCCAUACUGACAGGUGGACUCAGUGGAAUUAGGGAAUACAGCUUUCCCAGGAUGAGUGCCUGUCACAGCCCAUGCUCCCAGGCACACAACUGGGGAACAGCCGUUCCUCUACUGCCCUGACCCAGUCGUCACUGCAGAUGCAGGUCAACUUUGUACCAGGGAGAAGGAAAAAGCUGGCAGGACACUCAGCAGUGUGAUCUGAGCUUCUUGCUUUUGAAGCCUGAACCAACAUUAUGUUUGGUAAGUGAAGUGUCAUGCAUCACAAAUUGAGGACUUUUCUACCCAAAAAACUUUUUUGGAAUAUAGGGGUUACCCUUAACUCAAGUCUUAUCAGUAUGAGAAAGGCAUGUGUCUACCAAGAUUAGCUGGCACAGCAAUAUUAGUUGUGAGCUAAAAUAUUCCCACCUCUAAAAUACCAGUACGAAGGAAAAACUGUAUAGGUGCAGUGUUUUCUGUCAGAAGGUUUUUACUAGUAGAGCCUCUCACACUGAAGGAUGUGCUUUGAUUAGAUGAGCAAACAAGCUGGUUUUGCCAUUAGAAGCUCUCUCACCACUUGGGGCUUUGCAGAGAUGCAUCUGAAGGCAGAGGUGCACUGGCAUUGCCUCUGCUCUGCAGACUUGCAGAAGGUGCUGACUAUGGAUGCUCCAUUCUGAAAUGAAAAACUGAGUUAAAAAUGCUUGCGUGUGGAAAAAUAAAAAUGUUUCAAAUCAGCUGGCUUAGCAAAACCCAUAGCGAAAGUGAGAGUGGAAGCCUAAGCACUGCAGGCCUUGGCUAGGCUGUGAAUGCAGAGUCAAUAGGGCAUCCAGGAGGUUAGGAGCCUUGGAGUCAUGAAGGAGCCAAAAUCGAUGCGUGUGAGACAGGGACCUCAGGCCUGAGUCAUGGGUUUCAAGACUGCCAGGCUCCCCGCACCGUCCGAGGAAGCCAAGCCUUCAGUAGGGAUUGAAAUCCUGGGGCUUUUGUCACUGUUGGAAGGGGUGCAGAGGUCUGGAAAGCUGCACAUGAAAACUCCCAAAAGUCUUAACGUCC